GAUGAAGAACGCAGCGAAAUGCGAUAAGUAAUGUGAAUUGCAGAAUUCAGUGAAUCAUCGAAUCUUUGAACGCACAUUUCGCCCCCUGGUAUUCCGGGGGGCAUGCCUGUCCGAGCGUCAUUACAACCCUCAAGCUCAGCUUGGUGUUGGGCCCCGCCGCCCCGGCGGGCCCUAAAGUCAGUGGCGGUGCCGUCCGGCUCCGAGCGUAGUAAUUCUUCUCGCUCUGGAGGUCCGGUCGUGUGCUCGCCAGCAACCCCCAAUUUUUUUCAGGUUGACCUCGGAUCAGGUAGGGAUACCCGCUGAACUUAAGCAUAUCAAUAAGCGGAGGA
This 329-nucleotide unclassified non-coding RNA is filed under the name soil metagenome. RNAcentral's name for it is "partial contains 5.8S ribosomal RNA, internal transcribed spacer 2, and large subunit ribosomal RNA". The stretch from base 1 to 120 matches the Rfam family "5.8S ribosomal RNA", at positions 35 to 154 of the family's 154-position model. The record is from RNAcentral.